GGUGAGCGGGACCUCUUCCGGGGAGAGGAGCCCUUUCCAGACCUGGAGCUGGAUCUUUUGGAGGAAUAAACCAAGCACUAAGUCAUACACUAACAUGCUCCUGUGAGGUGUAACUCCAGACAGCAGGUACAGGUUGGAUUCCCUGUACCAGGGCCAUUUUUGCCAUUUUUGCCUAUUUGCAUUAUGAGUGAUUGCAGUGGGCCCCUGUGAGGUGGUAUUUUUGGGGGGUUUUUUCACGCCCUCUUAAAUGGCUAUAUUUUAUGUAGCACUUUUAUUCUAUAUUUUAGGUUAACUCAUGUGCCUGUCAGACUGAUUUUGUUUACAUUAGUUUAUCAUUGGUUAUACAGCAUAGCGGAAGUUCCUGUUGGAGGAAAUAUGUUAAGUCCUGCUCCUCCCCCAAACUUUGUGGUGAGGAGAGUUGAUGAGAGCAGACACAGAGAGGAGAAGAGUGUGAAAAGCAGCUUGUGCCACAGUACUGUGCAGCAGAUGAGGACACCUCCAGCUACAACAUCAGACCCUCUGUUGCUCUUGUCCACUCUGCCUCAGUCUUUGAAAGAAAUGUAGAGAUGGACAAAAGUUUGAACAUUCACAGAAAUCAAACAUGUAUAUUUUAUUAAUGUCCUUGUUACCUGAGCAGACCUGACUGUGAUUCUCUCUUCUUUUUCUCAGUAUUAAUGUGAAAAGUUAACCCCGUAUUACACAUGUAAUUGUUUGAAUGUAAUGUACAGUAACAACAUUAAAGCCAGUGUAAUACAAGGCCA
Long non-coding RNA from Thunnus maccoyii (southern bluefin tuna), 761 nucleotides. RefSeq lists it as uncharacterized. The record is from RefSeq and is a predicted model, not a curated record. NCBI's taxonomy places the organism in Eukaryota, Metazoa, Chordata, Actinopteri, Scombriformes, Scombridae. The transcript is spliced from 3 exons.